GGCCUCAGCAGGUCCUUCUGGUGGCAAUGGGGCAAGGCCAAAUGGCCAGGGUGGAGCUGGAAGUAAACCCAUGAAAGGAUAUGGCCGACCACCUUAUGGCGCAGGUCCAGGUGUGGGGAUGGGAGGCUCCAGAGGUCUUGGAGUACCUCAGCUUGCCAGGAACCAAGGGAC
Molecule: long non-coding RNA, 171 nt
Organism: Scomber japonicus (chub mackerel)
Lineage: Eukaryota; Metazoa; Chordata; Actinopteri; Scombriformes; Scombridae
Exons: 3
Source: RefSeq, a predicted model, not a curated record